GACGAACGCUGGCGGCGUGCUUAACACAUGCAAGUCGAACGGAAAGGCCCUGCUCGCAGGGUACUCGAGUGGCGAACGGGUGAGUAACACGUGGGUGAUCUGCCCUGCACUUCGGGAUAAGCCAGUGAAACUGGGUCUAAUACCGGAUAGGUGCCAUUUUGAGUGUGAUGGUUGGAAAGUUAUUUCGGUGUAGGCUGAGCUUGCUGCCUAUCAGCUUGCUGGUGGGGUUAUGUCCUACCAAGGCGGCGACGGGUAGCAGGCCUGAGUGGGUGGACGGCCACAUUGGGACUGAGAGACGGCACAGACAGCGACGGGAGGCAACAGGGGGGAAGAUUGCACAAGGGGCGCAAGCUUGAUGCAGCGAGGCCGCGUGGGGGAUGACGGCCUUAGGGUUGUAAACUCCAUGCGCUAGUGACGAAGCUUUUUGUGACGGUACCUAGAUAGAAAGCACCGGCUAACUACGUG
This 465-nucleotide ribosomal RNA is filed under the name uncultured bacterium. RNAcentral's name for it is "partial 16S ribosomal RNA". It matches the Rfam family "Bacterial small subunit ribosomal RNA", at positions 28 to 507 of the family's 1533-position model. The record is from RNAcentral.